UUGCCCUAGUAACGGCGAGUGAAGCGGCAACAGCUCAAAUUUGAAAUCUGGCCCUCGGGUCCGAGUUGUAAUUUGUAGAGGAUGCUUUUGGCGCGGUGCCUUCCGAGUUCCCUGGAACGGGACGCCUUAGAGGGUGAGAGCCCCGUACGGUUGGACACCAAGCCUCUGUAAAGCUCCUUCGACGAGUCGAGUAGCUUGGGAAUGCUGCUCUAAAUGGGAGGUAAAUUUCUUCUAAAGCUAAAUAUUGGCCAGAGACCGAUAGCGCACAUGNAGAGNGAUCGAAAGANGAAAAGCACUUUGAAAAGAGGGUUAAACAGCACGUGAAAUUGUUGAAAGGGAAGCGUUUGCGACCAGACCUUUUCCUAGCGGAUCAUCCGGUGUUCUCACCGGUGCACUUCGCUAGGUUUAGGCCAGCAUCGGUUUCUGUAGGGGGAUAAAAGCUCUGGGAACGUAGCUCCUCCGGGANUUUUUAUAGCCCUCNGGGAAAUACCCUUNUCUUUUUCCGAGGACGGGAAUUCGNCUUUNCAGGCANAAG
Molecule: ribosomal RNA, 535 nt
Filed under: Xylaria sp. Le11
Lineage: Eukaryota; Fungi; Ascomycota; Sordariomycetes; Xylariales; Xylariaceae
Description: eukaryotic LSU rRNA
Rfam family: Eukaryotic large subunit ribosomal RNA
Source: RNAcentral